UACGUAGGGUGCGAGCGUUGUCCGGAAUUACUGGGCGUAAAGAGCUCGUAGGUGGUUUGUCGCGUUGUUCGUGAAAACUCACAGCUCAACUGUGGGCGUGCGGGCGAUACGGGCAGACUGGAGUACUGCAGGGGAGACUGGAAUUCCUGGUGUAGCGGUGGAAUGCGCAGAUAUCAGGAGGAACACCAGUGGCGAAGGCGACUACCUGGCCUGUUCUUGACGCUGAGGCGCGAAAGCUAGGGGAGCAAACGGG
Molecule: ribosomal RNA, 253 nt
Filed under: uncultured bacterium
Lineage: Bacteria
Description: partial 16S ribosomal RNA
Rfam family: Bacterial small subunit ribosomal RNA
Source: RNAcentral